This 474-nucleotide long non-coding RNA is filed under the name Dermacentor andersoni. Its description in RNAcentral is "uncharacterized LOC126545651". The record is from RNAcentral. Lineage: Eukaryota; Metazoa; Arthropoda; Arachnida; Ixodida; Ixodidae.
CGGUCCUGGGGCUUUUAUACUUUGGCCUUGGCGCGGCCACUGCGAAGGGCAGCCUCCGGUCACGUAUGGUGCUGGACGCCACUCAACUCCAAGUCGGUGACAUGAUUCCUGAAGAUGGUGCCACGACUUGUCAACACAUACGGCCCCAGCACAGCAGAGAGAAGAGACCUCAUGCUGAGGCAGCAGGGACACUUACAAUGCAGCAGCGAUCGCCCCCUCCAAGCGCUCCUCGCUUCGACAAUGGAAGGGAACCUCUGUUUCCCCCAAAACGCUAUGCCUUAAGCGCUGCUGUGAGCGGAGCGCCUGACCCACGCUGCCUUCCCAUGCCACCUGCAUCCUGGCUGAUGGGCGCGGAAUUGACUCGACGAAGAAAUAGGUGUGUGUCAUGGCCACCUCUUCGACGACAGUGAUGUUUGUGGACGCCGGAGUUUUUAGGUCUCGUGAGCGCGAAAUAAAGAUUUGUUUUUAUGCGAA